This 494-nucleotide ribosomal RNA is filed under the name uncultured bacterium. RNAcentral's name for it is "partial 16S ribosomal RNA". It matches the Rfam family "Bacterial small subunit ribosomal RNA", at positions 28 to 507 of the family's 1533-position model. The record is from RNAcentral.
GACGAACGCUGGCGGCGUGCUUAACACAUGCAAGUCGAACGGUGAAGCGCCUUCCUUUUUGGUGGGUGUGGAUGAGUGGCGAACGGGUGAGUAACACGUGAGUAACCUGCCCCCUUCUUCUGGAUAACCGCAUGAAAGUGUGGCUAAUACGGGAUAUUCUGGGUCUGUCGCAUGAUGGGUCUGGGAAAGAUAUUGUUUCGGUGGGGGAUGGGCUCGCGGCCUAUCAGCUUGUUGGUGGGGUGAUGGCCUACCAAGGCGGUGACGGGUAGCCGGCCUGGGAGGGUGGCCGGUCACACUGGGACUGCGACACGGCCGAGACUCCUACGGGAGGCAGCAGUGGGGAAGAGGGCACAAUGGGCGCAAGCCUGAUGCAGCGACGCCGCGUGAGGGAUGGAGGCCUGCGGGUUGUGAACCUCUUUCGCCAGUGAAGCAGGCCUGCCUCGUUUGUGGGUGGGUUGACGGUAGCUGGAUAAGAAGCGCCGGCUAACUACGUG